RNAcentral lists this ribosomal RNA (383 nucleotides) under uncultured bacterium. RNAcentral describes it as "bacterial SSU rRNA". It matches the Rfam family "Bacterial small subunit ribosomal RNA", at positions 28 to 417 of the family's 1533-position model. The record is from RNAcentral.
GACGAACGCUGGCGGCGUGCUUAACACAUGCAAGUCGAACGAUGAAGCCCUUCGGGUGGAUUAGUGGCGAACGGGUGAGUAACACGUGGGCAAUCUGCCCUUCACUCUGGGACAAGCCCUGGAAACGGGGUCUAAUACCGGAUAACACUCCUGCCUGCAUGGGCGGGGGUUAAAAGCUCCGGCGGUGAAGGAUGAGCCCGCGGCCUAUCAGCUUGUUGGUGGGGUAAUGGCCCACCAAGGCGACGACGGGUAGCCGGCCUGAGAGGGCGACCGGCCACACUGGGACUGAGACACGGCCCAGACUCCUACGGGAGGCAGCAGUGGGAAUAUUGCACAAUGGGCGAAAGCCUGAUGCAGCGACGCCGCGUGAGGGAUGACGGCCU